RNAcentral lists this ribosomal RNA (468 nucleotides) under uncultured bacterium. RNAcentral's name for it is "partial 16S ribosomal RNA". It matches the Rfam family "Bacterial small subunit ribosomal RNA", at positions 28 to 507 of the family's 1533-position model. The record is from RNAcentral.
GACGAACGCUGGCGGCGUGCUUAACACAUGCAAGUCGAACGGAAAGGCCCUGCUUUUGUGGGGUGCUCGAGUGGCGAACGGGUGAGUAACACGUGAGUAACCUGCCCUUGACUUUGGGAUAACUUCAGGAAACUGGGGCUAAUACCGGAUAGGAGCUCCUGCUGCAUGGUGGGGGUUGGAAAGUUUCGGCGGUUGGUGAUGGACUCGCGGCUUAUCAGCUUGUUGGUGGGGUAGUGGCUUACCAAGGCUUUGACGGGUAGCCGACCUGAGAGGGUGACCGGCCACAUUGGGACUGAGAUACGGCCCAGACUCCUACGGGAGGCAGCAGUGGGGAAUAUUGCACAAUGGGCGGAAGCCUGAUGCAGCAACGCCGCGUGCGGGAUGACGGCCUUCGGGUUGUAAACCGCUUUCGCCUGUGACGAAGCGUGAGUGACGGUAAUGGGUAAAGAAGCACCGGCUAACUACGUG